Molecule: transfer RNA, 73 nt
Filed under: Ameiurus melas (black bullhead)
Lineage: Eukaryota; Metazoa; Chordata; Actinopteri; Siluriformes; Ictaluridae
Rfam family: tRNA
About the family: Transfer RNA (tRNA) molecules are approximately 80 nucleotides in length.
Source: Rfam by way of RNAcentral
GGGGUAUUAGCUCAGAUGGUAGAGUGCUUGCUUUGCAUGCAAGAGGCAGUGGGAUCGAUACCUGCAUCCUUCA